GAUUUUCAAACAUCUUACUACCUUGAGGUGCAUACACAGAUCCUUGUAUUGCUAUAUGAAUUGAGGGCAACUUAAUUUUCUUAUUGCCUUAACGUACAUGGUGGGGCUGUAUCAUUGGGACACCCAUUAGGAUGCAGUGGAGCUCGUAUCUUGGUCACAUUGUUAGGGAUCUCUACAAAUUUUUAUUCUCCAAAUAUGAAUGUUGUCAAUGAGAACUUCCUCCCUCUGCUCAAACGCCUUGAUGACUGCAUAGUGUAUGUAGAAAACAAUCCACAGUAUGCUGAAUCCGGCGUUUACUUACUCAAAUUUUGACAACUGCAGUCUCGAGCAUUGGGUAUGAUUCGCUCUCAUGUACUUUCUGUACUCAAAAGUGCGUCUUCUCAGGUUCAGUCAGCAAUCCGGAGCAAUAGUAGCAGCAAGGCAUCUCUUGCUGAGGGUGUAGAGGCAUCUGUUAUAUAUGUUCAUUUCAAGGCAGCGGCAAGUGAGGUACUGUUUCUUUCUUAGCGAUUCUUUUUUAUUAAGACUCCUGUUUGGUCAGUAAUGAUAUGUAAUUAAAUCUCCUCUGCUGUAGGUUCAUGCGGCCAGAAACUGCACAAGGCAUAUUUGUUAACUUCAAAGACUUGUACUAUUACAAUGGGAACAAGCUUCCUUUUGCUGCUGCUCAAAUUGGCCAGGCUUUCAAAAAUGAGAUAUAUGAACUGGGUUGGAACUGGGACAAUUUAGAACUUCUAGCACAGGGUAGAAACUUCAUGUUAUUAUAAAUGGCA
Molecule: long non-coding RNA, 767 nt
Organism: Humulus lupulus (European hop)
Lineage: Eukaryota; Viridiplantae; Streptophyta; Magnoliopsida; Rosales; Cannabaceae
Exons: 7
Source: RefSeq, a predicted model, not a curated record